UUGGAGGGCAAGUCUGGUGCCAGCAGCCGCGGUAAUUCCAGCUCCAAUAGCGUAUAUUAAAGUUGUUGCAGUUAAAAAGCUCGUAGUUGAAUUUCGGGGUCAGUAGGUCGGUCGUGCCACUGGUAUGAACUGGUUUUACUGAUUCCUCCCUCUUGAAGAACUGUAAUGCCAUUAAUUUGGUGUUGCAGGGAAUCAGGACUGUUACUUUGAAAAAAUUAGAGUGUUUAAAGCAGGCUUUAGCUUGAAUACAUUAGCAUGGAAUAAUGAAAUAGGACGUUUGAUCCUAUUUUGUUGGUUUCUAGGAUUGACGUAAUGAUUAAUAGGGAUAGUUGGGGGCAUUAGUAUUCAAUUGUCAGAGGUGAAAUUCUUGGAUUUAUUGAAGACUAACCACUGCGAAAGCAUUUGCCAAGGAUGUUUUCAUUAAUCAAGAACGAAAGUUAGGGGAUCGAAGACGAUCAGAUACCGUCGUAGUCUUAACCAUAAACUAUGCCGACUAGGGAUCGGAUGAUGUUAAUUUUUUAAUGACUCAUUCGGCGCCUUACGGGAAAC
RNAcentral lists this ribosomal RNA (549 nucleotides) under uncultured Glomeromycotina. RNAcentral describes it as "SSU rRNA". It matches the Rfam family "Eukaryotic small subunit ribosomal RNA", at positions 548 to 1098 of the family's 1831-position model. The record is from RNAcentral. Lineage: Eukaryota; Fungi; Glomeromycota.